CUCCAUCCCUCCCUUCCUCCAUCCCUCCCUUCCUUCAUCCCUCCCUUCCUCCAUCCCUCCCUUCCUUUCCUUUUUUCUUUCCUUUCUCCCUUCCUCCCUUUCUUUCUUUCUUCGAUUAGGGGCAUCAGUGGUUAAAACAAAAGCUUAAUUCAUGUCUAUAAUAUUGCUAUUCAUUUCUGCACAGUCUCCUAGCAUGAUGUUCAGAAACAGGCAACCUUUAUUGCUCCCCUUCUAUGAGGCAGCAAAUUGCUUAUCGCUGAGAUUGUCAUGGCCUGGAUGGAACUUGGUCAAACGAGGACAGCAGAAUCAUCAUCAGCCCAGAAGUCCCACCUACCUGUGAACAUCUGAGUACCAAACUAUUGCAGAAUGAAUUCCUGGUGUCUUGUCCUAAUUCGAAAUGCUCUCCCUGACCUCUCCAUCCUGCUCCCAUUUUAUUCAACACCUCCUGUGCAGCUGGGAUGGAGACUCAGGCUUCAACCCUGUUACAUCUUCCCUGACUCAGCAUCUCAUAGGAGACCUUUGCAGUGUCUGCAGAUGAUGAUGCAAUAAGGUAACCAGAUCAAGAGACUCUGAGCCAGCCCUGGGCCAUGAAGUUACGAUAGGGAGUACAAGGCAUUAGCCAAUACCAUUCUCAUCAUCUCCAGAAACGUCUUUCUCUGAAGUGGUUUAUCUGUACUCCAAACGGGAUGAAGCCAAAAGGGGAGAGCUAGCUUGGAGGCAUACACAGUGUGUACUUAAUAAAAGGAAGCUUUCAAGAGAGGAAUGUGUGAGCUAAUGCAGUCCUAGAGCAAGAGCAACUCAUGCUUCAACAGGUUAUGUGCAUUUUUGUGUCUGUGGCUGAUAACUUGCCCCUACUUGCCAAUGCGAAUAAUCUCCUGCUCAGUGAAUGUUCUGCUCUUAGUGGUCAAGGGAUUCAGCACUUCAAUUAAUCCUCCUAAGCUGUCAGACUGUAAGUUUCCUCACAUGUGUGGGUUAGUGAGGUAGCAUGUAAACAUGUCUGUUUAGCACAAGGUCAGUUGAUGUACAAGCUCCAGGUGGAUGGUAUAGGCAUGACAGAAAAUAUUAAAAAAAUGGAUUGAAAACAAGACUAAUUUCAAAUAACAAUGCGAGCCAAAUCAUCAGAGCAUGUAAUGAUAUUGUUGACACAUAGCAUCUUGAAGUGAAAAUUGCUAAGGGAGGUUUUGGAAUCAUCACCAGGGAAGGUUUGUUUUUAAGGAAAACAAGGCACACAUUUGACAGGAACAGCACAGGUUAAUUGUCCAAGGCCAGAUUAAAUGACUGGCUUCUCUCUCAUGAUCUCUUACACUCUAGUUUCCUGUCUAUGUAAAGUAUUUUUGCUGUCUGUAUAAAAUACAUUGUCUAGUUUAGCUUAAAAAGUGUUGCCUUUUGAGUUCCAGUUGGCAUCCAGAUAUUCCAGUGUGUUCAGCCAUAAACUCCUCCACACAGAUUAUACAUCUGAAUUAUUAAAAGCUUUUGUUAAGAAGGGAAAAAGUGUGCUCCUGAGCUAUCAGAAGGUUCAGGAGGUGAACAGCAUUUCCUGCUUCUAUAAAUAACAUGUUUGAAAACUAAAGCAGUUCAUUACAACAGUCAUUUGGAAGCUGCAGCUGGCAGCUAUCACUUUUGGGGGAAAAAUGGUUGUGGCUUUGACAGCAGCAAAAUAACAGUGAAUGUAUGAGGUAGCUAACAGUGUUCAUAAAGGUGUAAUUCUGUCUUAAAUUGAGUUUCCAUUUGUUUUCAGCAGGCUUGCUGAAGAAAAUGUUAAGGCACCAAUGAAAAUGUUCCCAAAGAAAGCUUUAUAUUGGAAGCAGAAGGAGGACGAAGAGGGGAGAGAAAAAGAAUUCUGAGCACUCCAGGGUAAUUCAGGCUGGAAGGGACCUGUGGAGAGCUCUAGUCCAACCUUCUGCUCUGAGUAGAGUCAGCUCUGCGACCACAUAGGGUUGUGUGGAGCAUCCUGCUGCCUGGUCUUGGAAACCUCUUAUGGUGGAGACCUCACAGCCUCUUGGGGCAACCUGGGUAAAGAUUGUCUAGCAAAAUGUUAAGCCACUCAACUCCAGAUAUUUGAAACCAUGAGACAAAUGUGACCUUUCUGUGAGAAGACAGGGAUGUACACAAUUGGGAGGCAGAGAUUUGUCACUAGGCCACUAUCUAUAUUAGAAGAGUAUUUGUCCAAUCUGUCCUGAUGGAGCUAUUCUAAAUAAUAUAAAAUAUUUCUGAGAGGUAACAUGAGUAGGACUCUAUUGGUUGGACCCUUGUUGGAUAACAUCAGACAGGAAUUCUUGCUGGUGUUUUACUUUGCAGUAUUUCAUGUGGGGUCUUACCUGACAGAAAUGGAGUCUGUCAGGUAGAGUAAGGAAAAGAGAAAAGCAGAUUCAUAGUGCCAGAUGGAGUUUGUGGAGUCUAGUCCCUGUCUAGACCCAAAGAGCCUUCCUGGGCGCUUCAGGUGCCUUCACCAUUGCAGAACAGCUGAUCAGGGUUUCAGAGGCUUUAAGCCUGUCCUUUCUGUGACUACCAGCUAGGUCAUGGACCUCACUGCCUGGUCUGCACGCAGGACACCAGAGGAAAGUUCUGCUAUUUGUUUCACCUCCCAUGCUGCAACGAUGCAGCAAAGGACAGAAACUGCACUCAAGUUUCAACUUCGAGGGCUGAAAAUAACUGAGGAACAGCAAAAACGUGGUCCUGAGCAGUGGUCUAUAGAGCUUAAGCAUUUGGCAAGCAGUGAGGUGAUGUUUUGGUAGGAUCCUCACACAUUCCAGCUUAAGCAUCUGUUUAACUGUUUGGCUGACCAAAGCCAAGAACUCUGAAUAUUGUGUAAUCACAUCUCAUGUUGGUGCUUGUUAAAGUAUGUAUCUAUUAUUGAUACUGGGUUUCUGGAAAUACUUUGAGAUCUGUUGAUAUGUCCCCAGGAUUUUCUUUUUCCUUUCUUUCUCUAUUUAUUUAUUUAUUCUUCUUUUAGAAUUUAGCUUAAUAGAUUGUAUCCAAAUAUCAGUGUUUGUCACUGGGAAUGUAGGAGGUAGGAAUUUUGAGUUAAAUUUUUGUUUAUACUGACCUCUUUUGUGGCUUUAGGUGUAGCACGUAUGCAUCCAAAAUAUGAUUUGCUUUUUAACAACUAGCAGUCAUUAGGCUUUAUGGUUAUUGAUUAAUAAUGGCUUUUUAAUAUAAAGUGUCACAAAGGGGUGGUAUAUUUUGAUGCUCUUUUCUAUUCAUAGUAGCUACCAAUUUUUAUUAUUCUUUACAUAAAAAUUAAAUUAAUGUAUUUGUUUUGUGAUGCUUGAAGAAAGACUGCUGAAAAGUCUAAAUAUCUACCAAGGUAAUAGUUGUGUUUAUGAUUGAUUUUUAUCGGUAAAGUUUGACCAGCUUGGAAUUGCGACUGCUGUUUUAAAAUUGUUUUUCAUAUCAAAAUGCUAUUGCAACUGGAAAGUUUUAAUUUUAAAGCAUGUAAAGGAAUAAGAGCAGGCUGCAAAAGUAUGUACCCAGGUGAGUGGUCUUCACCUUUGCAAUCCUGUUGUUCUGGGUGAGACUACGCAUACAACUGAAGGUUGCAAGACUGGAUUGAGAGUAAAUACUUGAUUUAAUGGAAUACUAUUCUGAGUACUUUGAAUGUCAUUCAGGAUAGUCCAAAGCAUAUUUAUAAUUUACUGGAAAUGUUUGCUAUUUCCAACUUAUUUUUCUUUUUCUAUUUGUAGUACUUGAUGUAUACUUACACUAGCCCAGUGUAUAACAGAUAUUUUCCGCUUGUUUUGAACCCUUUUAGGUUAAGUAACCACAGGUAGAACAUUAUCUUAAAAAAAAAAUAAUCAAAACAAACUCCAAAAUUUCCAGUUUUGUCAUUUAAAAAGGCUAAGAUCUCAAGAUAAAAUGAAAAAUAGAAAACCUGAGGUUUAGUCUGAGACUCAAAACAGAUUCUGACGUUUAUGUUUGUACUUCCAAUAAAUCAUUUUGAAGACCCUUAUGGCAAAAUCUAGGGGAAAAUCUACAUACUUAGAAUGGCAUGUGACUGGAAUUUAAACACCUAUACCAAGAAAGUGAUCCAGAUAGUUUGCGCUUUGCUCAGACUCUGAAAAUCAAGUGUCUGGCACCUGGCCAGGCUGUCCCCAUGGAGCUCUUGCCUCCUUCCAAGAUGGCACCAGAUCUGCUGUAGCUGUGGUCGGUGUUUCCAACACUCGCCUUUUCCAGGACUGACUUGUGACCUCAGCUGAGAGUUGGGUGAGCUGCUUUUUCUUGCCUCCGCAGCUCCCAGUUCUCCAAAAAUUGGGCAGAUCACUCCAGGCUUUUGACUAUUUUAUGCUGAGAUAUGGUCCAUCUCUCAUGUUGAAGCUGAAUUACUGUGUAGCCAGGGACACGCCUCAGAGAGCUGAAGGGGAAGGCGGAGGCAAUUGGGCUUGUGCAAAGGAGGUUUUGGGGUUACUUGUUUGGACCCCAUCGCUGUUGUUUCUGUUUGGAAUUUUCCAAAAGCUGCAACCAUUGUGAGUUUCAUGAUUUUGCAUCAUGGCUUAGAUAAGAUAUAGAGAUAUUUGUGCUGUGCAAUCCGUCGUUAACAAAGGACCUGAUUUCUGCAGAUAUAUCUCCUAAAUAUUGUGUUUGCUGCCAGUAGUCCCACUGAAAAAUCUUACUAGUGAGUAUAGUAUAUGUAUACAUAUUUUCUAAUAAAAUAUUAGCACGACUUACUUGGUGGAAAAGGCACAGAAUCAGACCCUUUACCUUCAUCUAACUUGUAGAAGCCUCUGGAGAUUUAUCCUAUUUUAACUGUGAUGGUGAAAGCAAAUUCACUGCUCAUGCAGGUUGAGAUAUUAUGGCUUAUAAGGACAUUGCUGACAAUUUUUAGGGUUGCAGUAGAGUUGAUGCCAGCAUGGUUAGUUAAGACAAUCUUGUUUUUAAGGUAAAGAUUUGGAUAUGUUUUUACACAGUAACAUCUCGAAAAUGGAGGGGGGAAAUAUUACUUAGGAUGACUCAUAAAAGUGCUUUAAAAAUGCUAUUAAGAUUUAAGGCAUAAUGUAGAUCCUAUAAAUCUACUCUGCAUUCUUUCACCAGGAAUGAGUGACUUUUAUGAAAACUAGGGCCUGUAAAUCAAGAACCUAAAUAAGGGGUGGGUUUUUUUGACAUGUAAAUACAGAUUAUGCAUUAGCUGAGCCCUGACUUGCUGCCUCCUGGUUCCAUGGGGGACGCACAAAGUAGACAUUUAUUAUUCUGAGCAACAGUUUUGCCUUGUAAAAGCAGGUAAGCAAAAAUAUAGUUUAGCAUUCCUCUAGGGAAGAACUUUAUUUCUAGUGAUUCGGGAGGGGGAAUUGCUUGUUCUCUUGCUCAGUCCUGCUUUUCUGCUUCCCUGUUUGUUCAUCUCUUGUGUAGGACUGGUGUGUAUUUCUAAGGAGAUGGCAUCACUUCUGAAAGCGCUCCUGAAGCUCUCUAAACACAAAUGUUAACGAGAAGGUUAAACCUCCCUGCACAUGCAAGCAAGCAUGCUCAGGCACACGUACACACACGUACACACCUUUUUCAGUGUACACAGGGAGCGUUUGCUCUGUUUCUGAAGUUGUUUUAAGAAGCAGCUUCCAUGCCGAACAAUCUUCCAAAACGCCAUUAAACGUCCUUAGGAAAUACCAACGGUUUCCAUCGCGUUAUCACAAAUAUACUUGACCAUUUGCAUCUUUGGCCUCGGCUUAAUUUGUUUUCGCCUCGUACCCUUGUCUCCAGGCUGUAACUCAUACGGUGCAAUCUGGCACAGCGAAUACUCCCCUGCCCCUCCAGCUGCUUAUCGGAACCUGGAGCAGACCUGGCGCGUUCGCAGCAGCCAGCUUACUUAACCUUAUCUGCUUUAUGCUUCUAUAUUUAAACAAGGAGGGCUCUUUGUUGCUGAACUAAUAUAAAACAUAACUUGACUGGAUGCCUGACUUUUAAAGAAAGGGCAUCUAUCACUUUUAUGUGGCAUUUCAAAGAAGAAGGCAUUUAAUAACACUGAAAGACAAAGAAGGGAGUCUGUCUUAAUGUACAACCAGCAGUCUAAUGAUUAACUUCUCUUAAUACUUAAUCAGUUUAUGGUAGGGAAGAAAAACAACAGUGCUAUGGAAUUGAUCAGUGUUGUGUUAAGGAGUUUGCUGUACUGUCUAAAAUGAUACAGAAAACAUAUACAGCUGGUGUACAGUAGUACAUGAUUAAUUUCAAAAGAAUACAUGCAACCCAUGUUCAAAAGCAUUUAAAAGAGGAGGAUGAGGAGGGUGACAGCAAGGAUUCACCCUGCAGGAGAGAGCAGUGGAUGUGGACCAUAAUGUCCUUGUGCACCUGAGAUGAUUGCACCGGGCUGUGCCACCUCCCCAGCCCCCCAAGACCAGUGUCCCGCUUGUCCCUGUCUCACUGCAGACUGGUGGGAGAGCUCCUGCUCAGCAGGGUAGGACAGUCAGGCAGCUGCCACCAGGCUGUGAAAGGAAAAGAACUAUGGAAUCAUAAAAUCAUUUUCUUUGGAAGGGACCAUCAAGAUCAUCGGUUCCAACCGUUACCCAACAUUGGCACUAACCCAUGUCCCUAAGAACAUCAUCUACAUGUCUUUUAAACCCCUCCAGGGAUGGUGACUCCACCACUUCCCCGGGCAGCCUGUUCCAAUGCCUGACAACCCUUUCUGUGAAGAAAUUUUUCCUAAUAUCCAAUCUGAACCUCCCUUGGUGCAAUUUGAGGACAUUUCCUCUCAACCUAUCCCUUGUAACUUGGGAGAAGAAGGACUGCUUCUACCCCUGUCGUGGUGGCAUGAGGUGCUGCCUGUGUGGGAACUUCUAACUUGAGAAUACAAUGCGAAUUUUAUACUAAUUUUAGCAUGACUCUCUAAGCCAGCCUUAUUGCAGAUACUUCCUUGCACAUAUGCUGAUUUAUAUUAGGUAAUAGCCUCUUUCCUUUCUACCCCUACUUCCUGGAGAAUUGAAAAGUUUAUUUAUUUUCUCUCUAACUGCUGCAGAAGUUGCAGAUAAUUCCAUAUUCAGCCUUCUAAGGUGGGUUUGGGCACUUCCUAUCUCAUAAGAGGAAAAAAAUCCUGUCCAAGGUUUUUACAUACGAAAAAAAACCCACAACAUUUUGCAAAUAUAGUCUUAACGUACAUCAGGCAAAAGUAGGGAAAAAACCCUAGGAACUUGUUACAGUGGGUGUGACUUUCAUUUAUGGUGAUUUUAUCUUUUUCUUCUUCUGAGAGUAAGCUUACACAAGACGGCUUUCCCAUUGCCUCUAUUUACAUAAAAUACAAAUAGAAAUAAUAUUUUCCUUUAUUUGGCAGAAAUGCUUUCUCUCCCUUUUUUAUUUUUUCAUUUUUCUAGUGAAUUUCACAGCUUGAUUGCUAUGCCACAAUGGUCCAUAGAGUGUAAUAGUGUGGAGUACAGUGGCUAUUUCAUUACUAUCCCACUGGACUAGGGCACUGCAUUUGUCUGUAUUUGUGAGAAGAACCUGCUGAAGCUGUUCAUAUCUUGGCUUAAAAAAGAGAGAGCAGCAAAGUCGUCAUUCCCUCUGCUCCUCCUCCAGAGGAAAAACACCUUCAUAUGCCCAGUUUCUUUUUAUAAGAGCAUACCGCAGAUGAGGAAAACCAUGAUAUUCUGACUUGCCAAUGCAUUUGCAGUUAGCUGAAAGAAUUCUUAUUUCUCAUGAGGGUGGUCAUCAUAUGUAUUUUCAACUGAAAUUAUUUAAAAUUGAGGUAGUUGUGAUAAAAAGUAAUUUUAUUUGUCAACUCUAAGCAACUGCACGCAGUAACUUUGUGCCUGCAGUUUAUAGUAUCAGCAGCAUUCAGCAUACACCUUUCAAUGUAGCCAUGAUCCUGGAAAUUCAGUAUGUACUGUUCUUUCAAAACAAAUCAAAAACUUCAAGCCUGGGGAUGGAGAUCACUUAGCGGUGAUUUGAAAGAGUGUUUCUCUGGGUGGAUGAAAUUGUGCACCUUCUGAGAUCCGUUCGUGUCUCAAGUGAAUCACGUGAAUCACCCGAAAGGGCUGUUUGGACUUUUUUGCCAUGAUUUUCCUGGGAGGGGGUUCCAGCAAUGUGCAGUCCUUGCUGCCAUUUGAAAUCACAACUUGGCUUUGGCCUGCUUUCCAUUUUGGCCUCAACUUCUUAAGAGGCAUCUGAACUUCCAUGAACCCAGCCCAUGCUCAGGACAUGGGGCUCGGAUUAUUAAAUACUUUUAAAAUGUCUGUAACAGCUUUCUCCCAAAGACCUAAGGACACUUGAACACACUUGUGAUUAACUGCACACUCUGCACCCUGUCCCAGUAGAAAACACCUGGGAAAGCCACAUCGGCUCUGAAUAUACUUUCCCAACAUGAGGACAUGGUGGAGAGGGACCUGGACCGAAAUCUCAUUUAAAAUACUUCGCAUGGUUCAGAAGUUCUGCUUUCCAGGUCUACAAUUUGAAUGGCCCUUUUCUAUAGCAUGAUGAUUUAAAUCACAACCACCACUUGCAAAUUCUUGGAAAAAUACAGAUGUUAUGUACAUAUAUACGAUAUACAAACAAAUCUGUCUGAUGAUCAUGCAGUGAGAUAAAGAACAGUCCCAGGCUUAGAGUAUGGGUGUAUGAUGUAAAGACUUGGUUUUCAGAAUUUUCUUUUCCCAUUGUAGGAUAUUCGAGGGGGAGAAGAAAACAACUCUGACUCUCUGUUUCAUACAUAUUUUCAUUGCUUUAUUAAACUGUUAUUGUGCUUGAAACAAGGAAACCUUCCUACUGCAGCAUAUUACACAGAAAAAUGCAGAGGAGCGAGCUCUACCCCAGUUUUUCAGAGCUGCAUCUGUUCCACAGCCCAAACUUCAGGUUUCAGAAAUGACCCUACAAUGAGACCCAGCAUGCCACCUGCCUGCUCCUCCACCGCAGCUGUACAGAAGUUACAAGUGGCAUCUGCUCCUCUUGCCUGACCUUCAGAAGAUCACAGAAUCACAGAAUGGCAGGGCUUGGAAGGGACCUGGAAAGCUCAUCCAGUGCAAUCCCCCAGCCGGAGCAGGAACACCCAGAUGAGGUUACACAGGAAGGCAUCCAGGAGGGUUGGAAGGUCUGCAGAGAAGGAGACUCCACAACCUCCCUGGGCAGCCUGGGCCAGUGUCUGUCAUCCUCACUGAGAAGAAGUUUAUUCUCAAAUUUAAGUGGAACCUUUUGUGUUCCAGUUUGAACCCAUUACCCCUUGUCCUACCAUGUUAGGACCUAAGAAACUCAUGUGCUAAGAGGACACUGUCAGUGUUUCCCCUGAGCUGACACUCUUGCCUAUAGAGCAAAGGCUGGUUCUAGGUGAGGUAAGUAGGAACCAAAUGCAACUUUUGGCUUUAGGUUGGGACAAUAACAGUCAAUUCACUCAGUCAUUGGUUAUCACCUUUGAAUAUAUCCAAUCUAAAGGAGUGGAGCCACUUGCUAUUGUCCCCUUCCCUCCAGCCCUUCCCCAAAGAGGCAGAAAAAGCCACAAAGUUGUAGACAAUUGAGAAGUUUAGGGCAGCCUGAGCAGUUACUGAGGACUUCUGCCCCACAGCCACAUAGAGAAUACCAUGUAAUGAGUUUUAAAUUUUAUAUUUAACCCAAGAGGUCCUAGACAGACAGAAGCUCCAAAACACCAGUGCACUAUACAUGUGUGCAUCCUCUCUGUCCUUUCCUUGCAGAUUUCCUAAACGCAGACCUACCCUUCAAGGAGUUUCCAUGCAGGUAGACCCUCCUGGCUUUCAGUGAUGCUCCAUGACUAUCCUGUGAACCAGCUCUCUUCAGGAUCAGGGUCUAAGGAAACACUAAGUGAAAACAGGUGAGUAACUAUCUAAUAUGAGGAAAAAGGAGAGGGGAAAUCCUCUUCCCUGGGGUUACAUUUAAAGCUGAGUAGGGAGUUCUAGGUUGAAAGGUUAGAGAGAAAAAUUAUUCUUGUUUCAGGAGGAGGUCUUGUUGGAGAGAAGUGUUGAAAUGAGAGAGCUUUAGGGUUAAGAAAGUUUCUGUGCUCAAGUAAGUGGUAGCUGAGAAGUUACUUUAAAUAACUUCAGUACAACUAGUGAGCAGGGAAAUUAAUUUCCUUCCAAAAUGACGCGGUGGAAAGGCAAAGCCUUGGGUCACAGCUUAGACAAAAAGAAAAGGUAAAUGCUUUGCAUUAAAUUCCUUGUGCACUUCAUACUUUUACAGACAUCUUUGAAAUUUAUAGUGUAGAUGCUCAGGUUUGAAGUAGAAGCUCACCUUGCCUGACCUCCCACAUAAAACAGGCCUUUGAAUCUGACCCUGUAAUUUCUGCAUCAGGCACCUCUCUCUCUGUUUGAGCUAUAACAUGUCUCUAAGAUAUCCAUCUAGUGUUGACUGGAAGACUGCAAAUAAAGGAAAUCCAUCAUGUCCUUAGGUAGCUGUGUUUAAAUCACUAAGAUAAGCUGGUACAUCUAAGGCUUUCCCUGCAGACAAGACAGUAACAAGAAUUUGCUGAAGAGGCCAGAGCUUGUGGGAGGGUAAAGAGGCUGCAGAUCCAGCCAUUAUUUUCAUAAAGGUCAGAAAUGGGGAAAAUGCAAAGUGUUGCUCUAGUUCCAAUGCAAAAUCAAUGUAAUAUCAUUCUGAUUAAUGUGUAACAUCUGACUUAAUGUGAAAAGUGUUCUUCAUAAAGUUGAAGGGCUUUCAAAGGACAAUGGACUUUGGUUUAUUAAUUAUUUGGUUUUCAAGGCUGACAUUGGCUGGGUGACUGGGCAGUAAUUCUAUACUGAGCACAAAUUAAAAACUCUUUGGGAAAAAAGAUGUGAUGUUACCUGGGAAAACAAUUCCAUUUGGUUUUGUGUUAUCUGGUUGCAGGUCACCUUUUUCCAUGCCAACUCUUUAAAAUUUUUUUUGAAGAUAGUUCACUUAUGUUUUUGGCAUUUGGGGAGCAAAAAGUCUAUACCAUACAAUUAGGUGAAAUUUAAACCCAAUUAAAAAAUAACAAGUUUGUUUGAGGUGACAUUAUGUGGAAUAUUUUUGUUUCAGGCUGAUGACCUCCAAAUGAUGUUACUCUCUAGUAGUGAUAAACAUGAAUUCGAAUCUUAGUUUUGUUGUUCUUUGUAUUUGUCAAAAUCUAUAUUCACAGUUUCUCAAACCUGACCAUUAAGUUUCAGGUGGACUGCUUUAAAAAACCUCAGUCAAUGUACUUUCUAUAUUAUUUCAGUAAUACAAUUUUUACCAAAGUUUGAACAAAGGUAUUGACUUAUGAACCAUCCGAUGGCUCUAUAUCUUUUUUUACAUAGAUAUUUUGAUAUCUUUUAACAUAUUAAGGAGGUUUCUUAUCUUUCUGCGUUAUUUCCCCUCCCCUUUUAUCUACUAAAUCUGUAUUGUGAGCCUCUAACGUUCUUACAUUUUUGUUUCCUUCCUUUCCUCUCUCACACUUUCCUUAAUACAGGACUCCUGUUCCUAGUGCCCAUCAAUCAAACUGUAAAUCCCAGACAAAAAUAAUUAGUGUGGGUGGCUCCUGGGUGCUGAUGGAGCUGGGUGGCAAGAACCUGGAGCUAAAGCUGCCUUGUGUAGGGUGAACCACAGCUGGUGUCCAUUGGUGCUUCUUUGGUGGAGCACUUUGCUCUGUUUUCAUUGUAUUUCAUUAAGAAGGGUUUCUGUAAGGUACACCCCCUUUCUGUGAAACAUGUGCGGGUUCCCUCACUCGGAAAUAACAACAGGAUUUCCUCUGAGGUGACACAUGUAAAAAUGCCCUUUUCAAUGAGAUCAUUGGCUUUGGAUGCCUGAUUUCCCUUUGUAUUCAAACAGCAUUAACUUACAUAUUUCCCAUUCAACUUUUUUGUGUGUUUCAUUUGUUGUUCCACCAGUGAGAUCUGUAGAGUUUAGAGCAGAAGAUUUAAAUCACUGGGCUUUAGAGUGAAGUCAGUUCCGUCUUCUCUUAUUGGAUUUGUUUUUACCUGGGUUAGCCUUCCCACUGACAGAUCUUCAGGUUUUUUUUGUCUUCUGUUUGUUUUCCAAUUACAGACAAGUAAAGGAGAUUUUGCAGCAUUCAAGGUAACUGAAGUAACACCCAGGUCAUAUUAAUAUGGUUCCACAUGUCUCCUCACUCAUCAAGUCUGCUUCAGCAUUAAACUUGUUUUCAUGCUACAGAAUGAGCCGUUCCACAUUUUUAGUGCAUCUUAGGACAGAAUGACCAGUAUUGUUCAUAAAUGACUGCACGGUCAUCUGAAAGAUAUUCUGGUUAAUUUCACUACAACAAUAUAAUGAAUCCGAAAAAUACAAAGUAACCUUUCUUAGAUUCAGGAAAAUGUCUUUCAAGAUUAAUGAGAUUCCCCCUGCCUCUCGUCAGAAAACUACCCAAACAAGCACUCUAGUGUGGUUUUCUUUCUCCUUAUAGAAGUUUCUUAAGAAGGUGAGUGAGUGGGUCAUCACCAGGUCAAGAGUCUUUGGUUAUGAACACUACCUCUCAUUUGCUUUAAUAGGUAACCACACAGCCCUGCAUAACUUCUGGUAUAGCCUUGUGUCACCAGUUGUUAGAAAUGAGGUAACGUGUUUAUGGAUGGAGGUGUCAAGUACGUGGUUCUGUAGCCCAAAAUUUUAUGCAGUACAUUAUUUCUCUUUGCCCAUCCAAAAUGUCUUUAACCAUGACACAGAACAACCUUGCUAAGGAAGUAGAACAUGCUGCAUUUGUUUAAGGGCAAUUAUUUCAAAUGUAGUUGACCUCUAUUUUGUAGGUAAAAUUAUAUUUUUAAAAGCUUAUAAAUAAGGGACUAUGACAGUAUAACUUAUCAUUAAAAUGCUUAUUAUGCCUGAGGUAAAAAAUAUUGAAGAAAGAUGAAAACUACUUGGGUACCUGUGGCAUGAAGACCAAGAUACCUAAAGGGAAAAGAUGAAUAAGACAGAUUGGGAAAGUAGAGUGUAAUUCAUUAAUACAUCACCAUAAAUCGUUUUGGAAAUUCUUGAAAUAAAUUAUAUAGGAUAUUAUCUGAGGAUACCUUAUAUAGGAUAUUAUCUGAGGUACCUUUUUGGUACAUAAUGUAAUUAAGUAAAUAAAUUUAAUUAGUAGCCUAGUUUCAGGAAUAUGGACUAGACCCACUAGUCUCUGGUAGCUGCCUACACCAAUUUAACAUGACUGGAAGAAUUUCAGAACUUCUAUUAUUACCCUUACAAUACUGGAAAUCACAAAAGGUGUAGGAAAUUUAGGACUCCUAUGCAUAACAUACCAGUGCAUUAAAAGUCACCAUUCUUAGAUCUCGCUGCUGCUUAGAAUUAACCAAAGAAGAAGCGAAUGAGAUAUAAUUUUUGCACAGAAUAACAAGAAUGUGCUCUGCAGAGCAUUUGGCUACAAAGAUGUGCACUUCAAGGAAUCUAUUGUGCCAACUAUAUAAAGAGCUUCCUUUUUUAACAGGCAAGUAGGAAAAAAAAAAAAUGAGUAGAUUACUGUCCUAUGGAAACUUAAGAGAAUUGCUCUUCAAGGUCAGGAGCAUGCUGGUAGACUUCUAUAGUCACCAGUGCUGUUUUCUGUGCAAAAGUUUUCUGUGCAAAAACUUUUUAAACUUCACAGUAGAUACAGGUUUUAUUGCACUAGCCAUUAACUGUUAAAAAGUCAGGAUCCUAUGCCAAACUGUCUCAUUUAGGGAAAGGAAAGGGGUAGACACCAGGUAGCAACUCUUCUUACCUAUUUGUAGAUGGCUGGCUGAAGAGGGGGUGAGUACUCAAGUCCUCGGUAAUCUCUCUUCACGCAUGAGAAGCAGAGGACCUACCAUGUUGUUAGGCAGAAAAUUGGAAAUAUGAAGUAAAAUGUUUAUUUUCCAAAAUAAAUUAGGUGCUAGUGAGAUCCUGCCUGUUUUGGGCACUGCUUCUAAAGGAACUAGCUAGAAGUUGGCAAGUGCCGGCCUGUCCAAUGAAUGAUGAUAUUAAGAAAUAAAAGCAUUGCAUUUGGAUGGCAGUAUCCAAAUAAAUCCAAGUGGUUUCUAAACCAUAUCUUGAGAAAACAAACAAACAAACAAACAAACCAAACCAAUAUUCUGCUGCUCCCAUAAUAAAAUUAAUAGACAAAAGUAGAUUAGUACUGUCUGACAUAGCCAUCUGAGUUCCAGUUCUCUCCCAGACCCCUUUGCAAGUCUGACUUAGUUAUUAGCUCAUGUUAAGAAUUCAGAAGCAAAUUGUGUACAGUCUCCAUCUACAUUAGGCUAGAUAUAUUUUCGGUCUGUUUUCUUAUGCCUUGCUUUGAUCUGUUGUUUUGAUUGCUUCACAGGAUAUCAGUAAUUAUUAUGGGAGCAAAAUGAAAUGAAAUCAAAGUUUUUCCAAAAGGUUAUAGGAAGUAUGGACUCAUAGCCUAGGUAGGGAACCUUACCAGAGUCAAGUCAGAUAUAGAGCCUGUGACCACUGAAGUGUUUUAGGAAAUUUUCUUUCAUUUGUCUUAAUUUUAUGUAUCAUGAGGUGCUUAAUAAGAUGCCAUGUGUAAUGCUGAAGUGACCUGCUUCUACUUUACAAGUGCAAUUACCUAAAGACAAGCCGGGUUUUGUGCAAUUUUCUGCUGGGAUGUUGAGGAGGCGGCAGGUGGUGAAGCAAGUCGGUGCCAACUAUUACAGCGCUGCCCUUCUGGAAAGUGAAGUGGAGGUGAAAAAUGUUACCAUGUCUCUGGGUCUCCUUUCCCCUCGGAGGGAAGCCUCGGUGUUCAAAGGCUUGCAUUGUACCCAUGGCCUCUCUAAACAACAUAAAACUCACUCCAGUUCGGUGUGGGUGGGCAGUUAAAGCUAAGGUAAACAACCCUCAUUGCCAAGCAAUAUUUUUUUUAAGCAGUAGGCAAGAUGCAUUUCAACGAAUGCAUUUCGAAAGGAAUAACCACAAAGAUAUGGGAAACACCUGUGAGUGUUUGUUGUGUGGGGGCUCCCUACAGGGGGACCCCAUGGGAGUGCAAAACCCACCAGGAACUUUGCUGCGAAGCUGUUGUGACCUCUGCAAGGUAGGAAAAAAAUACAGCGAUUGAUUGGGCAUGUUUUGUGUGUGAAAUUGAGCAUGGGUGCGCACAAUAUUCACUCUAAAUGCGAAUGCAAAUUGCCUCCCUACUAUUACAGGGAGGGCAUGGUAGAGAAAGGGCCAAAGGGGGUGGUUGUCCCCUCCAGAGCAGCCCAGAAUGGGACAUAUGCACCCAGUUCUGUGACACAGCACUGACUGUUUACCUACAGUGUGUUUUAAGAUCUCAGUCUUGAGAUUUACUUAGGAACAUCCCCACAGAUACAGCUGGGAUUCACAGAUGUCAAGCUAACAGCACUUUUUUGUCAAACACACCUUGACUUGGCUAGUUAAGUUUGAUGUCUUGAAAAUGUCAUCACCUUGAGCGAGGAGGAGACAAACUUGUUCCAUAGGAACAAGUAAUGUUAUAUAAUAACUUCAUAAUCAUUUGUAGAGUUGUAGAGUAAGGCCAGAAGGGAAUAUUUGACUUCCUAUGCAGUGGGGGGCAGACUGCGUUAGUCCACAAAAGGAUAUAUUUUAGAAAGGCAUCCACAUUUGUUUAAAAAGUUUAAGUGAUGGAGAAACCAUGCAUGAGAAGUUCUUGAAGUGAUGGACUGGUAUUGAAUAAAAGUCAUCACCUAUUUUCCAGUUUGAAUUUAUGCAGCUUCAGCUUCCAGUCUCUUAAUCUUGGUAUGACUUUGUCUGAUGUGUUUAAAAAACUUCUUCUAACAUCCAAAUUUUUAAACAUUCCACUCUAGAUCAGGAUCUGGAGAGUGGCAGGUCACCUUUGGAAGUUUAAAUAGAUCUAGCUUCUAAAACUAUUCCCAGUUUUCCAGAGACUGACAAAGCGUGUCCAGUGCUAUAAGUUUUGACUUAUCUACACCUGUAACAGCUUAAGAAAGUACCAUGGUUACAUACAAUCCUAAUUAAUGUCAUUGCAUCCCUACAAAACCCAUCAGAACAGCAGUCUGAAGUCAUGAUAGUAAUACAGCUUGGAGCUGUAGAGGUUUUGGACCACAUAGUGUGUUUGUAUUGUCAAAAGCCUUUUCCUGGACUCUAGCUGCAGGUUCUAGUGUGUAUUUGUGUCAUGUUUUUAUAGCAUACAUGGCCCCUCUCUCUUUCCCUGAUCCAAGCAAACAAGAGGUCAUAUAGCCAUGGUUGGUAUGGGAGUGAUUCUAACAGGAAAAAUAAGUGCAGAAAGACUGGGAUAGGGGUGGAAUUGGGUUAUAUUGUCUAUAUAGUCAUGCCCCUGCAAAAAUAUAAGAUUCUAGGAUAUAUAAAUAUACAUCACUUCCCUGUGUUGGCUAAAGCUAAUCUGCAUCUUUAUAGGCUUAGCCAAAUGCCUGGUGGAAAGACUCUUGUUGGCUGAAACACAGCUUGGAGGCUUCUCAAGAACUUAGAUUUUGCCAUCAUGAGACACUGAUCUGUUUCCUGCAUCUACUUAGACUCAGAUCUAUUUGUUUUGGUCUUGAACUAAUCUACUGCUGCUCCAUAGGGUGUUUUCUCGGCCCUGUACAAGUGGAAGGUAACUGGGGUUCUGACUCACAUACUGUGAGUGAGCUUUUACAACGUUCUCAGUUAGGAUCUUUUCAUAGAGCGUGACCCAGAAAAUACCAGACUUUACCUUUGUUGAGCUCUCAGUGACAGGCAGUAGCAAACCCAUCAGUGCUAAACUGGAUAGGUUUGAUCUAGAAAUAACUGUAAGGCAAGAAAUAGAGAACCCCAGGAUACAAUUUUUUGCAGGUUUGCUUUUCACAAAAGUGCAGUUACAUCAUUAAGCUACUUUACAUUUCUUUCCUCAGCAAAAGAUCUCCUUUUAUUGGAAUAAUAUGAAGAAUACAAAAUUGAAAAUCCUAAUGAGACCAUCUGAGGCUAAGGGGACAUUUACAAACUCUGGGAUUUUAGAAGGUUAAGAAAAGAGAUCAAUUGUCUAACUAUUUGAAGUUUCCUUGCACAGGUUGUUUUCACAGGGAAAACUCACAUAUGGUUCUACAUAGGUAUUUCAUCGUAAGAAAGAAGAGAGAAGACAGGAUGUGUGUCUGUCUCCCAUUCUAGGACAUGGGUCCAAGUCAUAUAUUAUGAUUUGUUCAAAUCAUUUUACUGUUCUACAGGAGAGAGAGAAUUUUUCUUCUCAAAGCUUGCUCUCUAAGGUAGAGUUCUGUUAUAUCAUAGUAUUGUUAUAUCCUAUUCUAUGUCCCCACUUCUGUUAUAUUGUAGAAAGAAGAGGUGUGCAGUGCUAUGGAUCUGUGUCCAGUAAAACACUACUGAGUUUGCAGUCUAGAGACUAAUGUCUCAGAUGGCAGAGGUGAAUUAAACGCACCAGCAGUAAUGGAUCUCUUUUUACCCUCACUCCUGGGAUGAUGUGACUAUAGGCAAUGUUACAGUUGGUGCUAUACCCCACAACAAAGGCUAAUCAGAAAAGAGUAGGAAUUCUAAAAGCAUGAUGAAAAGGAAAUAAGAGGAUUAAACAAUGUCUUCUUACAUUCAGGAUAUUGUUCUCAAAUUGUAGUCAAUUAUGAGAUAAAGAUCCCCUCUGUCAGGGAGAAGAAAGAGUUACAGCAGACAGUGCUCUGGGGAAAUGUAGUUUUGCUUAAGGAACACUAAUGUUGUAUUAACAUAAUCCUGAAAGUUUAAUGGCUGCUCUCCUCCUCUAAGUGCAGUGGACUUACUUUGGUUUAGAAGACUGCAGAAAAUGGAGAAUUUGUGCUCAUUGUGCUAUCGGUAAGCAGAGAAGCUACUUAAAAUGUUUUUGAAACUCAUUUUGUCUGACAGAUAAGUGAUUGCUCUUUUUGGAUUAAUGGACCAUUAAUACAGGAUGUCCCUGCAGGCUCAGGUCCUGCUCCUUUCCUGCAGACAAGUUAUAGCACGAUACAAGUUCUGCAAGUGCCAGAAGCGUCUUUUCCACCUUGCCUGGUGUCACACAGUGAAGUACUGGAAUGCCAAACAAACAAAACAUGUCCUGUUGCUGUUCAGAAGCACGUCAUGCCGGUAAUAAAAACUGGAACUGUAAAAGGAAAGGUAAUUUCUAUCUCUUUGCACAGAAACUGAUAUUUUUGUUAUGUUUAUCAAAUGCACGAAAGGAUUCUGAUCUGUAACUGGAGCUGAAAUACAAAAUCAAUAGUAAAGAUGACAGUGGCACUGAUAUAGCCAACUAACUUCAUAGUGGAUUUUGGAUCCUGUUUGGUGGAGGUUCAGUUUUCUAACAACCUGUGUCUGGGGCUCACUGGAAGUCAUGCAUGGAGACCACUUGCCUUUUUCCCUACCAGCAAUACUUCUCUUUUUUCAGGGAUGACAGGCCAAGAGCAGCCCCGGGCGUGCUGAGCUAAGGCCAGCAGCAUUUCUCCUUUGUGGAUCAAACAGCAGGAGUUGGAAUGAACCUUCCUCAAAUUCUCUUUCAGGAUCUCCUCCAGGCAAAACUUUGAGGUUUGCAUAACUCUGAAAAGUAAUCUGACUUUACUUUGGCAAUGAAAAAGAAGCCUCUUAUUUGUGCCAAGCAAAAACAUAUUUCUUCUUAGUAACAUUUUUCAUUGCUAAUAUGUCAUUUCUAUCUCCCUCUCUUUCUUUUUUUUUUUCCCCUUGCUGUGAUUAUCCUCUCUUUUAAGGACACUUUUACAUAUACUGUUUUGGGCAUGCUGAGACAAGAGUAAGAUAUUUGCAGUAGUUUAGGAAAAUGCAUGGAUUUGAUGUGGUCAUGCAAAACAUUUCAGUUAGUGGUCUGAAUGUGUUGUUGAAAACUGAAGGAUUAUAUAAAUAAAUGGAAAAGUCAAUUUUCCUUUGUUUCCUGAAAUAUUCCCUCAAUAAAUCAAAAAAUGAAAAAAGAAAACAAGAAUGUCACUUUGCAAUUAAUAGAUAGAAAUGUGUUUUUAAUACUAUCUAAUACAUUGCCAGACUAAAAGAAAGCGGCUAUCAUCUUCAUUUUUGAUCAAGGCAAGGAAUUUCUGUGAUGCUUUUCAUUUUCUCAUAUGAAAUAUUUAGUUUGGAGCCAACUACAGCCACAGAGAUGUCAAGACAUGGUACCUUCUGCCAUUAAAAUUUUCUGCUAGUAGUUACAAGAAAGUUUAGUUUGGGAUCUACAAGAUCUUUUGGGCUGUUUCAGGAGAUGGCUUGUGUCUCAAAGGUGGAUAUUUAUGUAUUUAUUUAUUAUUAUUAUUAAUUUAUUUUUUAAAAAAAGAAAAAAAUAUAUAUGUGUGUCUUCUCAGUGAUACAGCUGUGGCUACUUCUUGUGAUGGGUCCUUCUCAAAUUCUUGAAUGUAGCAAGUUCUAGCAUGAUAAUCUUAAAUUCCUGGUGAUUUUCUAAUGUUCUGGUGUGUUUCAAAAUAUCACACAUAUUGCCUUUAAGCUAUCACACUCAUCUCAUUUAAUCUUUUUGGAAGUGGAAAAAGAAGACAGUCUAGCUGUACAUUAUGUAUUUAAAUCAAGAAAUGUCUGAAGGGGCCAUACGAAGACAGGAGCUGCUGAGACAGGUUGGAGAGAGGUCAGGCUGGAUCACGUUGAUCAUGAGUUACAGCUUUAACCAUAUAGAUGGAAAUCACUGAGGCAGAACAUGGGCAACGGGCAGCUUUCAUCCCACCUUUGUCAGCUCUGAGGGUGAUGGAGUACAGGUUGUAAGUCCUUGAUGUUAAAUAUGGUAAUACACCAAGAAGUUGAAGUUAAUAACAAAGAGAAGGACAAGGGAAUACAAUUUUGAACAAAAGAGGCAGGUUAAAGUGAUUUAUUGGGAGCGCUGAAAUUCUUAUUACUAUGUAAUGAUCAGAAGUUUUUAGGCUUCCUGUGGCCAGAAGUGAGUACUUUGCACUAAGAUGAGUAGGCAGAGGGUGUUCUUGUCUUACAUUGCAUAAUUAUUCUGUAGUGAAAAGCACUUAUUCUAUUCUGUGUGCUCUCUUCAAGCAUUUACUCUCUAAUCCUUCUAUAAAUUAAGAGACAAUAAUCACCUACUGCUUUUUCAAAGUUUCCUGUUCCUGUUUGAUGUCAUUGUGUUUAAUUUAUCUUUUACACCAGGGUUAAGCCCGACUUACUUUUUUUUAGUGCUGCCCCUAUUUAAUCUUCUUAAUUUAUGUGAUGUGCUGAUAUUUGUUUAGAACUCUAAAAUGGAUAUAAAAAAUAAAAUGGAGAUAUCACUGAAACAAAGAGAACCUCUGUUAACAAGAACUGUAAAGUAAUAUUUCUGUCUUCUAAUCUCUAAUGAGAUCACACUAAUGAAGAGAAACUGUGCAAAGAAAGUUUUCACUUUGUGUUAGAUUGUUUUUUAAACAGAAAUUAGAAUCCAGGAACAGAUUUUUGGUAUCUUAUUUUGGUAUUACGUCACAAAUACAAUGCAUCAGUUUCCAUACAAAGGGAUGACAUGAUCUAGAACAUCUCUGAACUAUUAGAAUUCAUUAAUUAUUUUUUGAAUGAAAAAUACUAUGUUUUCAGAAGCAAAUGCUAUAUCAUUUAUGGACCACACAAGACAAAAUCAUCUAUCAAUUUUAACUCUCCAACCCAUAAAAACUUAAAGUGAAUUAAAGAUGCCACUUGAAAAUAAUUUAAUUUUCUUGCAACCUGACAAACUUCAGGACGUGCAGCUGUAUCCAUUUCUGAGACGCUGGUGGCAGAAGGUGCAUUGACAACAAUUGAUCCUGUCGACUCCCAUGGCUGAUCGAACUAGAAAACUUGUCUGCAUAGCAGGUACUGUAAUCCAAAUUUAUGACAGACCCAACAAGACUUCUCUAGAACCAAGUUUAUGUCACAGAAUAGUGACAGUGGAAGAAAAUGCUGUAAGAGGGUUGACUGUGACCAUGAAAUCGAUUUCUGCUGCUGUGUAGGAACUUCCACCUUAGUCUUCUGAUUCAAGUGAUCCUCCUCUCUACCACACAGAAUUUCUUGUUGGUUGCUAUUGUUGUUGUUGGUCUUGCUAUCCCUGUGUGGUCGUUAUAUAUUAAUAUAUCUGCAUUCCUGAAUUUAUUUUUCUUUUUUUUUUGGCUUAAUCAGUGCUUGUUUAUACACCUUUGGUCAUUUAAUGAAACCAAAGGCGCCAUUUUGUCACCUACCUACCAUCACUUGUUUUGGGUUUACAGUCAGUCUGGUGGAGAAACUGUGGGUAAGAUGUAUCAUUUGCCAUUUCUCAACUAAGCUUCUCAUUUGAAUAGCUAAAAAUCUCAGGCCAAACUAAACUAAAUUUAUUGUAACUGUUCAGAUUAAGGAGUUGUUAUUUAGAUUAACAGCAUAUGAGGGUUUUUUUGAUUGGAAGCAUUCUUUGCUGUUGUGCCUUCACAUUGCAAUAAAUGAGAAAGGGUAUAUCAAUUAAGCUUAUUAGCAGUAUUGCUCGUCGAGAUGGAACUUAAAAUGGCAAAAUAAUAUCCCUCUAUACAUGAUCCUCAAAGGAAAUAAAUUAAACUGCCAAAAGUGUGGGUGAACACACUGAUUUUAGGUUGUUAGUUAGCUGAGCUGUCCUGGUUAGGCAGGGAUUUCUCUUCUGUCUUCCUAACCAAUAACAUUAUGCCAGCAAAACUUUCAGGUUUUAGACGGUAUAUAAGUGAUAUAUUUCACUUGAAUGAUCUCAAAAUGUUUUGUGUAUCUCAGUAUCACAAAUGUCCUUUUUAACACCAGUUUACCAAAGCUAGUGUUGUAAAUGCAUUAGAUGCAUUUUAUAGAUUUUAUAAAACAGUAGCAGCAUAACUCUCAAAUACUCAGCGUUUCUCAGUUCUCUAAUGCUAUGUAUUUCUCAAAUAACCAUCCUUAUUUGUAAAAAUUAGUUCUGGAAAACACCAAGAAUUACAGACUUUCAGGUUCAAGUUCUUUGCAACAGAAAUAGAAUUCUUAGAGAUCAGCAAAAAGAAUCAUGGGGUCUUCAGAAAGUAAUUAGAUGCUUGGUUAAUGAUAAUUUACUGAGAUGAUGUGAUUUUGUCAAAUAGAGGAGAAAUAAGUUCCAAGGAGCAAACAGAAAAAGAGAUGCCCAUUGUUUAUCUCAGUGCAGUUUAGCUGGCUGGUAUUUUCGGCUUUCUGUAGUUCUCUGGUCCAAACUUUGCAUGUAUUUUCAUGUGACUGAUUGAUUACACAUGAGAGCAGAUGGUGAAGUUUCUUUGGAUACUCAGUUACCUUGAACUUUCCAAGGAAAUAAUUUAAAAAUUCCCUAUGUUCUAAGUCACAUUUAAAUAAUCCAGGACUGUGAUUCAGCUGUUUCGGGCCCAUUACAUACCCCAAGUGGAAAAGCCUCGUGCAGCCUUCUGUCAAAAACAUAUGGAGAUAAUAUGGUGGAAAGUGGAACAAUUAGCAGUAAUCAGCCUGUUUUAGAUCCUCUCAGAGCAGUACCAGAUUCCUCCCCAAAUGGAGCUACUCAGAUCACGGCAGACACAGCCACUGGCUGUCCAAGUGCUGAGCAUCUGUGAUCCCAUUGACUCACUUGGAGAUGUAAAUCCUCAGCUGUUCUAAAAUCUGCUAAGUUUUGCAGUUAUUUGCAUGUUAAAUUCCUCAUGCACGGGUUAUGUGCCUGGCUUUGCUCCCUGGUCACUCUUUUGGGAGACAUAGGCUCAGGUCCGUACUUAUGUAGCAUAAGCAGUACUGCCCAUUAAUCCAGGUUUGUAUUUUUGGAAGAGUUUUCCCUUUUCUAUGAUCCCAGUAGAUUUUUCUCUUGCCUCCUCAUUAUCAGCUUUCUUAUAUUGAAUAGUCAAAGAACAGUAGGACCUUCUUUCCUCUCCUAACACUAAAAAUGAGCCAUCAUUCUCAAACCUUUCCCACUUCCUUCAUGUUUUCUCAAACCCAUCUGUAAACUUGCGUUUGCACUUAAAUUUGCUCAAAGCUUGGGACCUAUUGCCUGGGCACCGUGUUGCUGCCUCUUACACAAAGAACUGGUCCCUGUGUUUUGGAGUAGAAAUUCAUCCUAGGGAUGGAAAAAUCACAGCAUGGCUUGAAAAGCAAGGCUUUUCUGCUGGUUGACUCCAGAAACUCCUACUGAGCUGGUGUCCCCAGGCUUGGUCAUCUUGGUAUAACAAUAUUUCUAGGCAGACCACAGCCUUGUGUCCACUUCUGCCCUGUUUUAUGCACAGGGACUAUUGCCAGGGCCAAAGGGGUUGGUCAACUCCUGGCUCAUCCUUGGUGUGAUGCCCUCAGGGCUGCUGAAAGAGUUCAUGACUGUGCUGGCUUCACUGCAGUCUUCACCAUGAGCAUCUUAGCCACAGCAAAGGGCUCUCAUUGCUUCCUCUGGGCAUUUUGUGCCUAAACACUUUGUUAUAGUGACCCUUCAAUAAAGGCUAAAUUAGUACAUCUAGUUUUAGACCGAGUGUAUUUAUCUUAGGAUAACAUGACCACAGUUAAUAAUUGAGCCGUAAUUGAAAUUUGCCUUUAACAGCAUCUCCUGACUAAUUGAAUUGUGUCUAGACAUUUUCUCUCACUACUGUUUUCUGGCUCCUCUGAUCAGCCUGAAAGGUAACUCCCCAGCAGUAUUAAACUAAGACUAAAUUGACCUGUCAUAGAAAUCAAGGCAGGAGUUCAUUUUUUACACUAGAGACUUUCCUGAACAAGUUAAGUGAGUGAGGUGAUAGUUUGUGCUUUGGUGCAUGGUGGAGAUAAGUGACUUCUGGUGUCACCCAAGAUUUUGGAAGUCAGUUUUGCCGUUGCGUUUCUUUCAUCAUAAUUAUUUCCAUCAGGACAAUAUGGGUUUUAGAGGCUUCAAAAUCUGAAUGUUAGCAUUAUAUUCUCUCACCAUGUGUAAAUUAACAUUUGAAUUGUGGAAUAUUAAAAUGAUGUUCUUGGGGUAGUUUAGAGCACCCUUCAUAAAGCUAUUUAUAACCAUGGAGAGAGGAAUGAAUGUCUCAGUUAAAACAGCCAGCUGACUAUGUGGCUUACAACAUAGAGAGCACUUCCCUCAUAAUGUUUGCAUUUGUGGGAAUAUUUCUUUUUCCUACACUUUGUCAUGCACUGAUUUUAAAUGACUGAUCUCUUGCACGAUAGCCUGUGUGGCUGCGAUACAGCUGGCAGGCAACUUAAGGAAUUCUUUAAUUUUUAAAUAUAUAAGUUAAAAUAACAGUGAUUGAAACUGUGGCUGUAUUAAACUUGAUAUAAAUAACUCGACUUACAUAAAUACAACUAUAACUUUAUAACUUGAAUUUACCUACAGAUUUUGUAUCACUUCAUCCAUUAUUCUAAAAACAUUUAUAGGGAAAGCAUACUAGCUGACUACUCAUAAUUUUUCUUGGGGGGACAUAAGGGACUUUUUGUCCUUGAAGUCACCUCUUGAUUUCUUAAAGCUGUAAAGAGCAACAGGACAUCAUGUUGCUGUAUAUACACACAGACAACAUGAAUAAUACAGAGAUCAAUUUAAAUGCUGGGUUUAUUUUUUCCACUACAAGAAGCAUGAGAUAUUUCCACUACAUGCCUGCAUGAAUUCACAGCUGGUGUAAAUCAGCAAAUUUCCAUUGAUUCCUUACUUGAUGCAGUGUAACUUUAGGAAAUGCAUAGCGACAUUAAAAAAGGUUAAACAACAAGAGAUCAGCCAGGAUCCUCAGACAUGACUAAUACAUACCAUGCAGAAAUUUCAUGCAAAUGUAUCUUAAACAACUUGAAGUGUGUGUUGUGGGUUGUUGUUUGAUUUUUUUGUUGUUGUUUUCCUUACUCUGAAUAGGUAUAGCUAGGAAAAAAAUAAAUUAAUUAAGCAGUAUCUAUUACAUAACACAAGUGCUAUUCCGAACAUGCUGCAUAAAUCUAUGCUCCGUGUCAUUGCAGCUGAAGCAGUCCCAGUCCUCUUGCGAGAAAUGGAAAUCUUGGCUAACACUACUGUGUCCUGUGCCUCCCACUCCCACCCUUGGAGUGGGGUGGAAGGAUUUAGGAGAGACCGACUGUGGUAACAAGCCUAAACCCGUCUAUUUAAUUCUAGAGCUAUUUUCCCUUUUUGCAAAAGCACACAACCUUUCUUCGUGCACCACUUUGUGGUGUAAAAACCUCUCUUGAUUAAAGCACUGUAUAAAUGCAAGACUUUUAUAACUGUGUCCCUGACUGGUGAUGCUGUUGGUUCAUCUGCUUCAUCUGCUACUGCUCAUGCUGUGAUCUUAAAGGCUUUCCAGCAUGUGAUAUAUUUGGGUGCUGUUAGAUUUAUAUCUGAGUUGAGAUUUUUCUUAUUGUUUAAGAGAGCAGGAUGCCAAAUUCCCACCAGACUGCUGAGAAAAUAAGCUUUCUCAUUCAAACAGGGUUCUUGUGUCUCAGCUGAAGGAUUUCACUCAGUUAAAAUCUUUCCAGUACAGGGACUGUCAACAUAUUUACAGGCAAUGGCUAAUGAUCAGGUGCUGCUCUCACAGGUGAACAAGGUGAAAAUGGGUGAUAAAAUUCAUUUCAUUAAAAUCAAUAUGUAUGGAAUGGCUUGACUUUGCAACUUUUGAGGAGAACUGACAGAUUUCUUGGAGUCCUGUAGUAUCCUGCCCAGCACCAGCUGCCCUUCUGUAUGUCAGAAGCUAUAUAAUAAAUGUGCAUGGGCUCCAUCUUGUAAAUUAUGUUGAUUUCUGUCUCCUAAACUAAGCUUAAUAUUUGGCUGAAAUGUUAACAGUAUUCUUUGUAAAAAAAACAACUGGGCUUACAUGUAUUACACUCUUGCUUGAGUGGAAAACUAUGAAGAUGGCCUGAUUUUCUUUCUGUAGAAAUUAUUUAUUUCCCCUCUCCUUCAUGUUUUCAUGUGGUCUCUGGAAUCCCUAAAGACUCUCUAUUUAACAGCAGCAGGCAAAUACCAUAUCUUCCCUUAAUCCCUGAAGCUCAGCAACUACAUUAUUUCAAGCACCUGGAAGGCAAGAACAGGUGGUGUCAUUUUUCUUCAGCACCAUUUUUUUUUUCAGAGUUAUUAAUAACUAAAAAGGUUGAUUUGUAUCCUUGUGUUCUAGUUGUUUUUUCAGCACUUCCAAAAGAGCCCAAGUUAUUCAAAGUUUCAGGAGGGACUCUUGUCUCUUCCACAAAGACAGUACUGGAGACAAAAGCAAGUCCGGAAACUAUAACAUUGGACUUGUAGCCAGAUGGGAUGCCAGAUGGCUAUUUUUAAAAAAAGUUAUCAUGGGGAAAAGGGGAGAAAGGAAAAGAAUUCAAGCUCAGCUUCAGAUGCAUCUUCAACCUGCUGUGUAUGAGGCUUUGAAAAGCAUGAUUCACUGUUUUCAUUGUGAGAACCUGCACUAACUUUUGCUCCUGUACAGCAGAACUAAUAUGUGUAUAAACAAUGCAGCUACUUUCACUAUCUGACAAGAAUAAGUUAUAUAUUAAGACCUGAAGAUGACUUUAUCAUACAGUCACCAACUUCAUGAAGCAGAACCUGCUUUGAAUGACCAUGAUUGUCCCACAGAGACAUCUCACAGAGUGAUCAUUAAAAUUCCUGGUCGCUUGCCAGUUGUCAUAAAAGUUCUUUGUCACCCAGUAGAACUAUGGUGCUGUGUAACUAAGCAGGCAAGGGUUUGUUUUCUGUAUUAUUUUCCCUGUUUUGUUCCCUUUGGCAGGUGCAUUGCUGUUGAAUAUACACCUACAAUCUUUAGUAGAACUUGAUAUCCUAAAUCUGUUCCAUGUUCAUCUAAUCUAUGCCAUGAUUAGUCUUUGAAGAGCAGUACAUGCCAUGAGUGAGUUAAUGUUUGAAUAAAAGAUAUAAGUUAAUCAGAACUAGGUAAGAUCAAGGCAACCAAAAUGACUUGGCUUAUUAACAGCCUGUUGAUGUAAAAUGCAGACCAUGCUAAAUAUUAAAUAUGUUGAUAAUUCUUUCCAAUUCGCAUCAAACUAAAUUCAACUUCAGAGUAAAUGAAUUAGUUCAACUUUGUCUUAAAUGAUGAUACUCUUAUUCUAAUAUGUGGGUAUUCCUAAUCUUCCUCUCUCUCUUAUUAUCAUUUGUAUUAUCAUUUGUAUUUAAUCUUCCAUUCUUCUUGAGAUGUUAAAUACUGUAUGAAGCAUCAUAACAGAACACAGUGGCUACUGCUCCUGCUUUGUGCUAAUCUGGUUGUGUGACCUUAGUGUGAUUCCCUGCAACUGCACAGAGAAAUUGUCCAAUACUUCUGAUCAGCCAUUCUCUAAUUGUUUUUAUUGUUUGGGAAUUAAUACUUAAAGGAUCACAAAGUUAAUUGCAGUGAACAUGGCAGCCUAAAUAGUUAUAAAUUCUGUGAACUUCACAAUAACAUCAGACCCAGUUGCAUGUUUGGAUGCCUUACAACUUGCUACAUCCAAGUUUAGGACGUGGGCAAAACCAUUAAUAUAGUGGUAGGAACGUAUUUAGUUAUAGGUACCUAGAGCUAUUUCCUUUUUGGACUAAAGAUGUUAACAAUGAUUGAAAAAACCUAAGUCAUGUCUUUAAUUUGUUGUAAAAAUAAACCGCUCCUCCUUACCUUUUAUUAACAUGAUACCCAGUGCUCUUUCCAAAGUUCUAUAAAUGGUCUUGAAAAGAAAACCCUGAAUCCGUGAAAUGUGUCGGGUUCAUUUAACAUCUGGAAGUACUCUCAUGGCUGUCUUCACUUCUUUCAAGACAGUGAAAAACUAGGCUGUAUGAUUUCUUGAUAUUCAUACAAGGAGUGCCUAGUAGCAUCAUUGCUAGUAAAUAAAAGAUUAAAUUUUCUACACUGGAGAUUGAUGUCUUAAGGUUUGGGUUUGGGCAUUUCCUGAGGGCCUGUUACUAACACAUAGUGUUAGGAGCUAUUUGUUUUUACUUUGUAACUAGAGGAGGCAAUCUAAUGCUCAUUAGGUAAUCUUUAUUGGACCAUCUCUGCUGUAUUUGUACUGAAUAGUACCCUUAUUACAUGCUUAGUUCCAUUUAUUUCAUCUGUUAAAAUUAGAUAUUUCCACUGUACUCAAAAAGCAUCCAUGUCCUUGGCUAGCAGGCCCAGAAUUUGAAGCUAACUGCUAGAAACUCUUUCCAAAGCAACUUUUUAAGCAGUUUAUUAUUUGCAUCUCUUCAGGAGCAAGGAUUCACAGCACCUGUGGCACCAGUCCCCCAUAUGGAAAUCAAGGGAAAGAACACAGUGACUGUGGUUUUAAAUGAAGAAAAAGAAAAACAGCUACACCAAUGAAUAGAGAAUAAAAGUGAAGACAUUCCCUGCAGGUAUUUCAAGGUAAAAACCUCCUCGGCAUUUUAACAGAUGUUCUGCAUUCACACAGCAUGCAGCCCAAAUGCUGGCACUGUGGCAGUGACUGGCGUCUUCUAGGAGCUCCUUUCCACAUACAUCACUCAUCUAGAUAUCAACUUUACUUGUCACAGGUAAAAAGCUGAUAGAAAACUCUAUUUUUUUUUGCUAGAUCCUGCUAAGAUAUAUUCAAGCGUACAGUGUUUAAUAAUUAUGUACUCUUGGAAAAAGUACCAAGAUUAAAUCAGCGAACUAGAGGAUAUUAAGCAUAGGAAAAAAAUACCCUGGGCAGAAAGCAAGCUUCCAGAUGGACUUGACCUUCACAGCUGUGUCUUGAACCUCCUGCUUAGGUUGGACACUUAAGAAACUCAGUUAAGUUCAUAGCGUCCAUCAGAUCCAGCUGAUGCUCUUGUGUUAUAGUUUAACUGGUGACCUGGAAGAGCGGCCUCCAUGGGUGCAUGACUGAUAUCUAAAAUAACAGGAACUUCCUAUUUAUCUGUAAAUAGUUACAGCUUUCUGUGCUGUGCUUGUUUUCUUCUGAAGGAACUGCAAUAAGCAGAUACCGUGGUGGUGUGUUUUAACCCUAUAGUCAGCUGUAGACCUUGUCGUCCUGUCAAAUAUAACAGACUUCACCAGGUUUAUGAGGAAUUUCUUCCAAUAAUUCCUCCUGAAAUGGAAGCAAUGGUUCAGAAUCUCAUGACUGACUCUGUGAACUUAACUCAUAUCAUCACUAAAAUAAGUUUGUUUGCAGAGAUUUUCUUUGUAUUUACUUUUCCAAACAAAGGAAAUUCUUUGUCAUUUUUUUUUUUUUUUUAUAUUGUGACAUUUUCUUGGGAGAUUCAAUUGUAUAUUUUUACUUUCUGUUUUUUUGUCUGUAUGUUCUCUGUGAGGCACAGAAUAUCCAAAACAAUGUACAAACCAAGCUUUUCCUUCUCAAUGACACGCAAGUCUCCAAAAGCAUCUCCCGUGCGUGUGCACUUGGGGCUGCGUUGUUUUGCUGGAAUUCUAUAGAAGUGCUCAUGGAUUCAGGGUUUCCAUGUUUUGGGGUGUUUAAUUUGAUACAAAUAGGUGUUAACUAUCCAUGUCCUUGCCAUUUGCUUUGCUAAAAUCUGAAGAUAUCUAUUUCAAAUUGAAAAAUCUUAACGCAUCACUUGAAAAUACUGACUGACCAGUAUAGUUCUGUCUUUUGCAGCUGCAAUAUGCUAUAUUGUCUGAAAAGUGAAUGAUUCAUUAGUUGUUUUGACAUAUUCUCAUGACAGUUUCAUAUUUUUGUACUCUGCCAAGGGCUUACAGUGUAAAACUAACAGAAGCUUUCCUAUACAUUCAGAAAAAAAGCCUGGAAGGAAGUUCUUAGUGAUUGCUCUAUUUACUCUUGAAUAUGAUGAUACAAAGAAAGCAUUUUCUAGCAGUGCAUGGGAUAUGCAUGCGAUAAGGAAGUUUUUCCUGAGGCUCCCAGCUCAGCCUAUGAUCACAGCAGCAUGGAAGGGAUUGGGAUCCUUUAUCACAUACAACCACUGCAGGGUUUUGUGAAGUAGUUCAACUUUGAAUGUGGACAAAAUUAUAUUUAAAAUGAAGAUUUUUUUGGACAGAAGUUACAUGAGCUAAUCCUUAUAAGUUAUAACAUAUGCCAUACCAAGUAGAAUGUAACAUAUUAAAACUUUGGAAACCCAUUAAGAUCCAUGACAUUUAACCCAGUUUAAUUUUUUGAAACAGCUUUUAUGAAAUAACAGUAAAUUCAGCUUUUCCAGCACGAUGCCUGUGUGUAAUAGAAUCAUCUGUUAGUGUGACUGAUGAUCCUACAGGGCUUGAGGAAAGAGGUUCUAGCAAUUAUGAAUCCUGAUUUGUGAGCAAACUGGCAUACAUCAGGAGAGCCUGUCUCUAGCUUUGUGUCCCAUCAUGUAUUCCCAUGCAAAGAGAUGUGAUUUAACCCAGAGCCAGAGACUUUGGUGCACAAAUACCAGUCAGAUAACUCCUUUAAGUUGGGGUCUAUCUCAUGUGAGGAUUACUCUGCUGCAGACUUCUCAACUGCAGAGCAUGGAUAGGUCUCAUUAAUUCCUGGAAAUAAUAUCAGCCAGAGAGCAGAGCUUAAAGUAAAACUUUUUCUAGGUUUCAGAGACUGAAUUCAGUCUGGAUUUGUGGCAGAAGUAACAACACAAUAGAAAAAAUUGUAUUCAGUCUAGAAAAAUGGUUGGUCUUAGUCAGUGGCCCAGUGCUGUAUUUAGGACCGAUGUCAUUAUGACCGUGUAAGAGGGAUUUCUGUUCCAUUUUAUUCCACACUGACCUGCUAAUUAAAGGUGUUAAGCUGACAAAGGAAACCAGAAAUUGUUUGUGAAAAAAUGGGGUGUUGAUGUCCUGUUAGUUGUGACUCUUAGGUGGUAAAAUGGGAUGGUACUGUACAUUGAAAGGUACUGAAGAAAACUGAUCCUAGAAGGACACAGCCCUAAAGUCAAAAGAGAAAUCUGGGUAGAAGUAGCUUAACUGUGUUACUGUUUCACUAUAUCUAUAUAUCCCUAAUGCUGUUGUAAGUAGAAGCAAUUGGCUGUGGCACAUUCCCAUGGUUGGUGUCUUUGAAGGACUUAACUAGAGAUGUUAAACAGGAGAACCCAAUGGGUAGAAAUAUGGGAGAAGAUACUUCGAUGUAACAGUGGCAUCUUGGCUUUGGUUAUUCUUUUUUUUCUCUACCCAGUCUUAAAGUCGUACAAACAUCAGAAUGAGGUCUCUGAGGAAAGGACACUGAAGAGAGGAUGACUGCAAGUGCGUGCCGGAGAAAUGGAAAAGAGCGUGCUGGAGUCUACAAGUGGUUAGGAAGACGAAAUCACCGUGGUGGACCACAGGUAAUUUCCACACUUAACAUAUAAGAAACCAAACAACCUUUGGAGCCAGACUCAACCAACCUACGUUCUGCAAGACCCGGUCACGGUGCUUUGCCACUGGCUGUGGGACUGGACCACAAUGUCCACAAAAUCAUCUGCCAGAUAGUUGGAUCUUCCCAAGUAUUGUUUGAGGACCAUGAUCUCAAGCUCCCCUAAAGACAUCACAAAUGUGAGUCAAAGAGCAGCAGUGACUCGAACAGGAAAAGCUUGUCUUUUCUGUUUUUUUUUCUCCUUUAUUCUGCUCCUCUCAUUUUCUCCCUUUACUCUCUUUCAUCUCUUUGUGUGUGUUCCGAGGUAUGCAAAUGUAUACAUAUAAUAUUUAUACUUAUGCAAACAAAAACUUUUGCUUUGAAAAUGUUAAGUAGUCAAAGAUCUGGGGAAGAAAAACCAGUGAGUUGUUGUUAUGCACUGAAACAAAAUAAAGCAAGACAAAGAAACUCUAGAUUUAUUACAAAACAAAAACCUCAGAAUAAUGCCUGCAAAACAAUGUACUUUAAGUACAGUAAUAAUUCCUUGAGGCAGAUUAAUGAGCCCCUUACGUGCGUUACACUUCAAUAGUGAAAUGCAACUCAAUCUAGCAGGGGGACGUAGCUCCAAUGUUUAGAGCCAGAAGGCUCUGGCUAGAAAAAUGUGCCUUUCUCAGCCACUGCAGAAUCCAGAAAUAUUACUCUGCAACUAUUAAAACGCACAAGAUCAUGGAAUUUUCAGUUAUAUAUUUUUUGAGUUAAUGAGAUGCCACAUUCUUAGAAGAAUCUAUUAUUUUCCAAAAUACUUGCCAUCCAGUGAUUCAGGGAAUUCACCUGGCUGAAAUCUAACCCAUAAGAAGAAAUAUUCGGUGUCUAGCUUGGUUGGCUCUCUGAUUCCUGUUGCACAGCAUGAUCACAGAUGUGCAAGGAUGGAGGCACACGUGGUGCUGGGAAGACUGGGAGGGUGAGGCUGCGAUGCAACAUCCAUGGGAGCAUCCCUUAUUUUUUCCUAUACAUAUAUAUAACAUCCACUGUUACAAAUAAUACAUUCUUUCCUUUCCUUAACAGACUCUAGCACAUAUAAUUUUGGCCAGCAGCUUGAAUAAACACAUCCCUUUGCAUCAAGGCUGUAUAAACAUAUUGGGUGCUGCCUGAUCCAAGACACCUUUACUCUUUCUUAGGCAUUUGUAUACUCCACUGCAAGAUGCCUUGGAAACUUUGGAGCUUCCAGCAUAACUGAAGACAAGCCAGAAGGAUCCUUCUUAGCGUGCUGUGUAUACACUGUCCACAUGUUAUAGAGAAGAGGAGAAAAUGUAUACAACAUUGAGGGAAAGCCACCACUGGAACACAGAUGGGGACACCUCUUCCUGAGGCCAAAGGAUGCAUUUCCCAAUGACAAACAGGAGCUGGCGUUAUGUGUAGGCUCAAUGCGGUAAAUAUGACAAACAAAGGGGCUGUAGCUAGAAAGGAAAAUGGCACUUCCCAAAGGAGUAGAUAGAAGUAAAUGUGAAAAAAGCCCUUGAAAUGAUGAAAGACAUUAAUGGAAAGUGAUGGAAAAGGGGAGGUCAUAUGCACAUGGCAGUUGACAGGUGAAAGCUGAUUUCCUUUUGGGUUUCUGUUUAGUAACAGAUGUGGCAGGAAGUUCCAGCAGAAUUAAAAAAAAAAAAUCACAGAAACCACACCAGGAGUGUUGAGAGCUGUGGGCAAGACGGUGUCUGUCACAGGAACAAAGGCAAUAUUUGUAUGCUUUGAAAGGGCAACCGUUGACAUACAUGACAAGUAAUAUAAAAUGGUCCUUUGAUUGGAGCCACAGACAGCGUGACAGGUUUCAAAGCCUACAAGACUGCACUAGACCUUUUUUUAAAAUAUAUAUAAGGGGUCUCCUAAGUGAAAACGAAUCUUGUUUAUGGCAUCUUAGCCAAGGAGUGCUCCAAGCUGAGGGUCCUUCCACCCCAGCCAGCAGCUCCAGGGACAGGUCAGGGCAUCUCCAGCCCCAGCUGAAUUAACUGGCUACAUGUCACUAUUGCACACUGGCUUACAGCAGCAAGGACAGUAUUGAAUAUCACCAGUGCAAAACUGAGCACAAACCAACUAAAACACAACCAGCUUUUAAACAGGGGGAGUCGAAGGGAGAUUAGGAGGAGCAUGGUCAACCUCCAGGCCCCUUUCCUCACGCAAAGCCCCUUUUCCCGAUGGCCAAGAUAGGUACAAAAUUGAACUAGGAGUGCUGUUGGCUGAAAACCAGCUACAUGGCGUAAUUCUUGGGCUGUGCCAUGAUCAAUGUCAUAUGCUGCAGUGCUACUUUAAACAUCAGUAGUAGAAACAGUAGAAGCAUUAGCAGUGACCAACAUCAGAGGCAACAGCAAGAUGGUUUUAAUUGCCUAGAGCGACAUACGAUUAUAUUUAAACAUUGUAAGGGACUCUGGCCGGGUGUUUCUCACCACUGCUACACGUCUGUAAGUCUCCAGCUUCAGCGCUACAACCAUCUAGUUUAUAUUUCUGUUUGUCAGACUUAAGAGUAUGUGCCCCACAUCGUAUGCCAGAGAGGGACAGGCAAAACUACAGAGACAGAAGUUUCCCAAACACAUUUGGCAUAAGGUCAAAUAAGUGUAGAGAAGCUUGAUCCAGUUAAUAAUUAAUAGCAGAUUUUUAAAGUAGGAAAACUCAUCCUGUUUGUUAUAAUUCAUUGUUGCAAAAUGUGAUUAUGUUCUGCUGAAUUUAUGAGGGAAGGCCUCAAAGCUCUGCUUAUUUUUCGGUGACAGAUGGCUCAGUUUUGUUAUGCUCAGCAAUAAUUUGUGAUAUAAUGAAGAAUUUUGUAUGAUUUAUACAAAAGAGUUUACAUCUUCAUUGUAAAUAAACACUGUUCAUUUCAUGCUAUUAAGUCUUGAAAGCUGAACCAAGAAAAAUGUGGUUUAAGAUGCAGUUUAAAAGCUAGUGAAGAUCAAAAGUGAUAAAUAGUGUGACAAUCUUUUUGGAAAGGAUGUAAGUCAUCAUGCUUCCAGGACAUAAGAUAACCUCUAAUUAAUGGGGGCUAGUAAGAAUUUUUUCCUGUCAGCAAGUUAUUCUAUAAUUGCGUUCUGUAAGGCUUCCUGUACUUUUCUCUGAAGCAGCUGGUAUGCUUCUGCAGGAUCAGUACGAUAAAAUCAAUAAAACCCCAAUCCAGUCCUAAAACUCUGUGAAUGUCUUUUUUAUGGGAACUUUUCACCCACCCAAGACUGAGCCCUCUUGCUUUGUAAGGCAAAAACUGCUAAAUCCUAAGGCAGAAAGAAUUAUUUGCUUUCAUUAGUGAUGUCUUCACUUGUGACAGGAAAAACAAACCCCAAAUCCUUCAACUCAUGUGUUGGCAUGUAGGAAGGAAGGUAAAAAUCAUUUUUUCAGUGACUUCGUCUGGAAAAGCAGUUACUUGUCUUGUUAAUAUGGACACGCAAUACUCAUGUAUAGUAUCCUUCUAAUAGGGUGAAAUAAAUACCUAGAGGUCUUGCGGGUGUGUCUGGGUAAAAGAAAUCUAACCCAAACAGUCAUCUGAGCUUUGGGGCUGUGUUUAGCAAGCCUUUGCCUUUGUCCUUGUCCUCAACUCUGUUGCUUAUAAUUUUCCCCCAGUACUUUACUUGUCUUCAUCAAAACUACUUUUAGACUAAAAUCUCAUUUUUGCUAUGUAAAAGGUAGGGCUCCAUAAUAACCGAUUUAUUGCAACCACAGAGUUCAGAAACAAAUUGAGAAAAUUGCCCUCUGGAGGUGCCUUUGCCCUUUUAUUCAUCAUACAAAGAAACUAAGGGAUUGGCAUAGGCUUAGAUUGGUCUAGCUUAACUUUAAGCUAAUGGCAAGUUGGUGCAAUGAAUCACAUCUUAGGUAUCUAACAUGUCAUUGGAAAGAUGUUUUUAUUUCUACCUGAUAAUAGCAUAUAUCUACUUUUUAAAGUACGAAAAGUAGGCAUGGGAGAGGGAGCAUACCUAAGGACUGAUAAAACUGGGGGUAUAUACAUCUUGUUUGGGAAGAUGGUCCCCAUUUUGCUCAGGGUCUGAGCCAAAUAAAAGAAGAAUUCACUGGACAUGAAUGAGCUUUCAUUGGUCCUCUAGGCAAUCCAACACUUGGACAUUUUACUGAGGUGUAUUUGCAAUUCCUUCCCUCCCCUCUGUCUUCCAUCAAUGUCAAAACAUGAAUUAUAUUGUCUCUUUUUUUUUGCUUGUUUUGACAUGCACCAGGAAAAAUGAACCUAUUCAUGCUUCAGAACCCUAUGACUUGUAGAGUUUGCACUGAUCAUCAUUUACUAGCUGUGAAUAAAGUCUUCAAACCCUAUUCUAACCAUUACAGCACUAAUUAUAGUUUCCUUAAGUAAAAUGCUCCUGAACUGUAAUUACCCAUAAGAUUAUAUGCUGGUAGCUACACAAUAAACUGUAUGACACAAUUCUAGCAGGGGGUCUGAGCUCACCCUACUCUCCCAGUCAAACCAAUCUGUUUAGACAAAACCACAGUAGUUAGGAUUAAUGCUGGAAAACCAGCUAUGGAUUCCCCCAGCCUAAAUAUCCGCAGAAAACUCAUUUUGCAUUCCGUAUGCACUGCUCAGUUUGCAGUGUUGCUCUCAAUUCUCAGCUGAUGUAAACAGAUGUUGAUCUGCUGAAUACUGAUUUUCAUCAGUUCAGGUUUUGGCUCACGCAAUACAGAGUUCUCAUCCCUUUGUGUUUAAGAAAACACAGGAAUUUUGGAGGAUAGUUCUAGUAAAAAAGACACUAUUGCCUGUGCACUUAUAAAUGUUCACUGUUCCAUUUGCAUGCAUGAAAUAGACACAGUUCAGGGCUGUAUCACAGCUUGCCAGAAAUAGAUGUGUAUCAGAGAGAAGAUGAUGUCUCAGCUUUGUGGUGUGCGCUCUGUAUUAAUUUCCCAUGUCUGGUAGUCAACAAUGCCAACACUUAACGGGAGACAGCAAUCCCUGGUGCAGCUGCAGUGACCCCUUGGAAUUACCCCAUGACAACUCUCAUCUACUGAGCAGCAAGAGAUAAAUUAAACAGGACUUGAAAUUUGGAACCAGUUCAGGCUUUAGAUAUGUGGAGGACUGGGGUUAGAGGAGACGUUUUCUUAUCAUCCUCUGUAAAUCCACACUCCCUUCCUGUACAUGAUCAGGUAGUUUCUUCUAAGGCAAAAUACAAGAGCAGCAUAAAACAACUCAUUCCUGCUUAUGUGAAUAUGAUUUUAUGUGACAGAAGCAACUGCUCUUUGAAUCGAAUGUUGUUAUUUGCCUCCAGAAUGUGGUGGUUUGGAUGCAUGACAUUGACUUCCCAGCUAACACAAUUUACUCCCCAAUUGCUUUUACAGACAACAUUUCAAGCAAUUAAGAGCAAUUAAUAAUGAGUUUUCAUAACACUAAAAAAUACGUCUGUGAAGAGCUUUAAAAAAUUGCAAUGUAAGAUUCUAAAAUUCACUUUUGCUUAGAUAUUAGCUGGGAAAACUAUCAGAAAAUUCCAUUAAAUAUUUUAAGCUUCCCUAUCUACACAUAAAAGCCAGUUACCAGAAUUGCAAACGUGUUUAAAUAGAGACUAUUUGUUUUCUUCCCCAAAACAGUAUUGGGGGAUUUUUAUUUUUCCUGUUAAAUAAUCCACUAUUGCUCCACUGCUCAGAUGAAAAACAUAUACAUCUAUUCUGUCCGUAUUCCUAUUGAAUUCCAUAUGCCUGAUGAUGCUGCGGUAGCACCGGAGGAUUCUGCCUUCGCUAAGCUCUGCAGAGCACAGCCCCUUGUUUCUUUGAGUAGAAUUCAGAAAUAAAAUUGCAUGUGCUGAGGAGUUGCUUGGAAUUAAAACACGCUUUGCAUAUGCACAGAACAGGGGUGGAAAAGGGCAGGAUUAUGUGCAAUUACAUGAGAAUGAGGCACUAAAGCACUGAAGCUGUAAGUCAGGAUCAGUAAUUAGCAUACGCUGUACUAUUCUGCGGUAAGAGGUGCUUCAAUUUAAGAGCAAAUUAAAAAGUUUGAGGAGAGUGCCUUAAAAUUAAUAAAGCGUUUCAUGAUUAUAAGGUGGAUUUUAAUUUAGAAGGCAAUUACUGGUAUUCUCACAUUUCUGAAUACUGAGAACCUGAAGACAUAAUGAUUUUCGAUCUACAUGUGCCUCUAUUGUGGUUUUUAAUGAGACCAAAUUCUAGAUUCCAACCAUCAGUGUUUGCUCUUGUUUUACAGUCUGCUUGUGUCUUAGAGAGUUCUUGUUACUUCCUAAUUUUCAUGGAUUACAGAAGAUUAAUUUUAUUAUAUGAGAUUAAUUUUAAAGAGCAGUGAUGAUCCCAGGUCUAGGCUCUCACAGACAUUGCUGUGACCUUGUUCACAUCCAUUUAAAGCAAAUAUUUGGGUUCUGUGGGAUUCUGAAAAUGCUGUACAUUUUCCUCUAGCUACACAAUAGAUGCAAUGUUGAAACCAGUUUUACACAGGCACAACUCUCUCAGUUUUGAUGAGCUUCUAGAGUUUCUUUACCAGAGGAAGGGAAUAAAUACACUGCAGCUUGAAGAUAUAGCUACAAAAAGAAUUCAGAGAGCAAGUCUUCUCUCGUUAUUGAAAGUGAAGUGUAAAAAUGAAUUAAAAAUGUAUUUUUACAUACAUACAACCACACAUAUGGAAGAAAAAAUACAGAGAGAAAGAGAUUUCUGUUGCCUAGUCGAACCUGUCUUUGCAACCAUGACAGUUACUAAUAAGCACAACUACAACAGCCAUCAUUUUGCUCUCACAUUAGGACUGAACUAAGUGUACUAUGGAGCUGUAAGCCUGGGCUUCUCUUGUCAGGUCUAAAGCUCAGUACCUGGAGCUGUGCACAGGUUUAGCUCUUCGGGAAGAUUUGCACAUAAGGAGUGGGACAGUAUCAUCCUGAGCCCAGAACCAGAUUUCCAAAAGGCAUCAAGCAAGAUGUCUUAAUACUUUGGAAAAUCUAGUCACUCGGGAGCACAAAAUCUCUCAGAAAUUAGUGAGGUGCAUCCAUUCACGUCACUCUGUUUCAUGUGAAUCCCUCUUCUCCAGAGAUUUUCACAAGCAUUUAAAAGAUUAAAAUCCAAAUAAGAAAAGAUGAGAACAAAGUCAGCAUUGAAUGAGACUAAGAGAAAAGGAAAUAGCUGAUUUAAUUAGGUUUUAAAGGAUGAUUCAGACCGACAUAAAUCUCAAUGAAAGGACAAAAAUAAUUACAGGUAACUAAUGCCAAGCAAUCUAAAGCUAAGGAAUUAAGUUAGCCUUGGGCACAGUACAUAACACACCCCGUUCUUCCUUCUGUAGAUAACGCGGUGCAUCCACUAAUUUAGAUCAUGAAGUUUCUUUUCCACAUGUAAUUAUUUUUAAUGCUGACAUUUCUUUUGCCAUUAGGGAAAUGGUGUUGAUAGCAUAACCAAGCAAAUCUCUCUAAAACACAGAAGUAUUUCUAUUUUGUUUUUCCUGGAGCUAAAAUGCCACGAGUCAAAACCAAAUGGCAUUAAUCAUUCUGCCACUGGAUAGAUUGCUAUAAAAUUAGAAAGAUAUAAACAAGUCUAGAUUCCAUAUUUUUUAUUUCUCUGUCUGUGAAUCAGUAGCAUUCCUCAUCCAUGGAUUUAUUUAUGAUGGUGUCAAAAGCCUAGCUCUUAAUUGGCCAUUUCUUGUGUCAGAGUUAUGGCCAAAAUUAAGCUCUGAUUUCAAAGAGGUAAUUCUUUAUUAUGGUCUUUUUUGUACCCAUACCUUCCAGACUGCAUUUCUUUCUGUUAUUCAACCGAACAUGCUAAUACAAGUGUUAGAAGGGUAAAUAAAUUGUUUUGCCAUUGACUGGAUUGAGAGUAUUGAUUUUGUUAAAUAAUGCAUGUUGGUAGUCCAGAAAGAAAAGCACUGUUUCUUGGAUCAGAUCCUACUCCAGACAUUUCCAUUUCUUUGGCUUAUGAGAGAUAACAUUGGGGGUUUCUUAUGCCUGAUUUUACAGGAAAAAAAGAUGGAAGUAUGAAUCAGGUAUUACAUUUCCGUAUCAGACAACCUGCAUUUAUGUAGGUGGGAAGCAACGAAUUAUCAGAAUUUUAAACGACAACUGGAAAACGGUCAUACUCCAAUGCAAACAUGUAAAAUCUGGGACAUGUUCAUUAUGUAAAUAAAUACUACAGGAGAUAUUUCAUGACUAGGGCUGAUUUUUAUAAUAGUCUUUGUCCCUUUUUAUGCUGUUUUUCUUCUUCUCCUUCUAUUAAAGCAGAAUCCUUAAUGUAACACCUCUUAAUUCAGCUACCUAUAUCCAGAAAUGUAUCCUUAGUUACCCUUUCAUGAAGUUAUGUAUUUCUAUUGAAGUAAAAUCUGAUCUAGAGGAAUGAUACAAGGAAAUAAUCUUUUCUAUCUUGUCAUGAAAAAUACAAACCCAAAAAUAAGCAUGCCAGCCCUUGAAGAUACUUAACCACAGUGGAGCAGAAUGACCCCCGUUAACAAUGAAAUGUAGAUUCCAUUUGAUUUUGAAUUAACCCUAAAGGGAAGUUUGACUGGGAAAGUGACAAAUAAGUGACUCUGAAGUUUUUGAGAAGUGCUGGUUGGGAAAUAUUUUCUUCUAUACUCCUCAAAAUGAAUGGACAAGUUUCAGCUCCCUGCAGUGGUGGCGUUUGAUGUCACAAGAAUAUCCCCCUGUCCAAAUGACAAGUGGGACAGACAGUGAAUUGCCUAAAACCAAGAAAGAGGGAUAUAAUUCUCCCACUUAAAAACAUGCAUAGGGCUCAGGUUUACUUUGUCUGGAAUGUCUUGUGGGAGCCAUGCAAGUCCCAGCCUUCUUGGUGAUUACAGAUGUGCUUUACUGCUCCCCUUUAUCACACGGCCCCUUCUCCAGCCCCUGGUGUGAAACGUGACCAGAGCUUCACUAAAGUACGAGGGACCUCUCAAUACGACCAUGCAUUGGGUGGUAACUGGUCUGGAGGAGCCUGUGUCCUGCACAGCUGCCUCUGGCCAUGGGAUGCAGCUGGAGGUGUCACAGCCCCAGAGGGCGCUGGACACUGAACAGGCUCCCCAGGGAGGUGUCACAACCCCAAGCCUGACAGUGUUCGAGAAGAGACUGGACAACAUCCUUAGACACAUGGUGUGAAUUUUGGCCUUGUCCUAUACAGGGACUGAAGUUGUACUUGAUCCUUGUGGGUCCCUUCCAACUCAGGACAUUCUGUGAAUCUAUUAUUGCUUUACCUCUGAACUGUGAUACCAUCAGGGUUGCCGAGCAGGAAACAAACCAGAUCUGCAAAUCUCUGGGCUGCCGACCAAGAGUGGGUGAUUUUGAUAUUCACUCCACAGGCUGAGCAGCAGAUAAAAGGCAAGAGAUCCCUGUGCUUGCACAGCUCCAGGGAAGUCGUUGCUAUUCUGGGCUAGAGGAGGCUUUUGAAAAGCUCCAAAGGGAGUCAGGAGCAUUAUUGCCAUUGGCAAUCAACAGAUUUAGUCCUGGGAGGGCACCCUAAACCAUGCUAUUAUUCAUUGCACUGGGAUACAGCAGGAAAAUUCUGCUGCCUUUGGGCAUUCAUCAAAUUCCCAGCUCUGCAAUGCUGCCAAUAUUCACUGUGCUGCUUGGAGAGAUGGUGGAGGUAUGUUCCCAAUUCCCAGCGAAGGAAAACAGUAUGAGAAUAUCCUAAUAUGUCAUUCUUUCAGACCAGAAGCUAUAUAAUUAAGCAGGUCCAUUAAGCUGGCCACUAAAUAUUAAGUAAUGGACUCUAUCUCUCUGAAGACCAGUACCUCACACAGUAAAAUUAAUGGCACUGUGAACCCAGCCAUUGCCUGACAGGAGCAGCCAGUUCACAGAGGUGCACUGGGCUAUUAGCAAAACCCUCGACCUGUGGAAGUUAAUAGAGAAACUUGUAUUUUGACCACAUAAAAGCCACCUACUUUUAAAAUUUAGUCUUUACAUCAGCAAAUGGAAGCUACAUAGAGAUGUUUCUCUUGCUUUGCUACGAAGAUGAUUUUUUAGAGCCCGUCUGCACCAGAAUUUAGGCAAAAGCAGAGCAAAAUACAAAACCUCAAAAUGUGCAUAUAAAUCAAUCAUACUAAAUGUGAUCCAAAAAAUAAUUUUGUGUGUAGUUUUCAAACUCCAGCAUUGCAUAAACUAAAUGCCCUGCAGCACAAUUGGACUGACUUGAAGUACAAAGUAAAAGAAAUACACACUGGGAUGUGUUUCUUGUUGCUGUACUUUUCCUAUUUCCUUUAAAAAGUUGUAUUAUAGCUCAUAAUAGUUGAUAAGUGAAAAUUGGAAAUGUCACUUAAAAGAGUGAAGUCAUUUAAUUUCGUGCUGUAGGUUUCUAACAUGCGUCUAUGGAAAUGUUCUCAUCUAUCCCAGGUACUUUCACCAUUUCAAAUAUUUAAGCAAGGAUAGGGCAUGCCUGAGAGAUGCAUGUGAGAGCUUUUUCUGUUAAAGAAUUUAACCUCUGAAUUUUACAAGCAGAGACUCGAUGUCUAGAUAUGAGUUCUUUGCCUGCUUUUAAGCAAAUUUUACUUUAAAGUCAUUUGGAAAUCUGUGCCCAGGUCUUUAUUCUACAUGACACUUGGAGUUCUUUUUUAUUGACUUAGGCGGCAUCUUGCCAAAGUGAAAAUGUUUGAAGACAGGCUGCUGGCACGUGAAGAAAUGUAAAAAGAACAGAAUUAUUUUGGGUGGAAAUAAAAGAAAUGGAACAAAAUAAACUUUUCCCCUUUUUAUGGUCAUGUUUACUUCACAGACAGUAGUAACAGAGCAAAUCUAAUCUCUGUCAUGGGAAGGUGCUGGUGUUUUUGUGCACCCAACACAUUUAUUAGCUAUCCUAAUCCUGUGAUUCAGCCACAUACUCCUGGAUGUGCACAAUUAGAAAAGCUUUAUCUCAGCACCCUUAUUUCUCAGACCUCUUCUCUACCUUUAGUUCCUCACACUUGUUUCCUUUCCCUUCAUGAUCACCCACUUUUUUAUUUUUCCCUCUUUGUUUUCCCCUUUACCUCUUUUUCUGCAUUUUUGUUGGCUAUCUGAAGGUAGGAAUUGAGGUCAUGAAAUAUUAU
Molecule: long non-coding RNA, 41653 nt
Organism: Columba livia (rock pigeon)
Lineage: Eukaryota; Metazoa; Chordata; Aves; Columbiformes; Columbidae
Exons: 7
Source: RefSeq, a predicted model, not a curated record